This 253-nucleotide ribosomal RNA is filed under the name uncultured bacterium. Its description in RNAcentral is "partial 16S ribosomal RNA". It matches the Rfam family "Bacterial small subunit ribosomal RNA", at positions 524 to 776 of the family's 1533-position model. The record is from RNAcentral.
UACGAAGGGUGCAAGCGUUACUCGGAAUUACUGGGCGUAAAGCGUGCGUAGGUGGUUUGUUAAGUCUGUUGUGAAAGCCCCGGGCUCAACCUGGGAAUGGCAAUGGAUACUGGCAGGCUAGAGUGCGGUAGAGGGUAGUGGAAUUCCCGGUGUGGCGGUGAAAUGCGUAGAGAUCGGGAGGAACACCAGUGGCGAAGGCGGCUACCUGGACCAGCACUGACACUGAGGCACGAAAGCGUGGGGAGCAAACAGG